RNAcentral lists this long non-coding RNA (661 nucleotides) under Homo sapiens (human). Its description in RNAcentral is "non-protein coding lnc-CLDN23-6:1". Lineage: Eukaryota; Metazoa; Chordata; Mammalia; Primates; Hominidae. The record is from RNAcentral.
AAUUAUAAGAGAAAGCCAUAAUGUGGCAAGACUUGUAGUUCUGUGGCAUGGGGCAGUACUUGAAGGGUAAAUUCAGUGUGUCUACAAAAUAAAGUGUGUUCUUAAGUGGUUUGCUGUGCUCACACAAAGUAAAUGCAUUAUACUGUAGUUGCUGACAUAUAAUGUGCAUCUUUUUAAAAGCCAGCAACAUGGCCAUAGAGACGACUUCAUCUUGCCUAAUGAAAAGAAUCAAGAAACACUUCAAAGGAGUCACUGGGAUGCACAUAAAAUACCCACACUCUUAGGCAGUGCUCUACCAGUGACUGUUAAGUAUAUGAUAUCCUCAGUCAAGCUACGGUAAGCUCAUUCAUUUUCAUAAAGAAUUCUUGCUUGAACUUCCAAACUGUACCCUGCAAUGCAGUGUAAUUUGUGUAGACACAGCAUUCUGCUUCUAGCUACUUAUCAGUCCAUUUUUAUGACACUUUUAACUGCAGGGCGUGGGCUCCCUGAUACAGACCAGACCUUGAAGAACAGCAAUUCCUCGUCAGAGUUUUAGUCCAGCGGCACCAUUCCGUACAAGAGCAGUUAUAUUUUAGGAAACUGGGACAAGAGGUCAAGGCUGGGAGUGCUUCGGGGUGAGUAAAGUAAGGUAGUUUGGAAUUAGGCAAAAUGGCAGGAUUAG